RNAcentral lists this ribosomal RNA (480 nucleotides) under uncultured bacterium. Its description in RNAcentral is "bacterial SSU rRNA". It matches the Rfam family "Bacterial small subunit ribosomal RNA", at positions 19 to 518 of the family's 1533-position model. The record is from RNAcentral.
CUGGCUCAGGAUUAACGCUGGCGGCAUGCCUAAUACAUGCAAGUCGAAUGGUUAGCUUGCUAGACCAUGGCGAACGGGUGAGUAACACGUAGGUAACCUACCUUAAGGACGAGGAUAACCUUUGGAAACGAAGGAUAAUACUGGAUAGGACAUUACAAAGCACAUGCUUAAAUGUUUAAAGGAGCAAUCCACCAUAAGAGGGGCCUGCGGCGCAUUAGCUAGUUGGUGAGGUAAAGGCCCACCAAGGCGAUGAUGCGUAGCUGGACUGAGAGGUUGAACAGCCACAAUGGGACUGAGAACGGCCCAUACUCCUACGGGAGGCAGCAGUAGGGAAUUUUCGGCAAUGGGCAAAAGCCUGACCGAGCAAUGCCGCGUGAUCGAAGAAGUAUUUCGGUAUGUAAAGAUCUUUUAUCGGGGAAGAAAGGACAGAUUGACUGAACCUGAUGAAUAAGCUCCGGCUAACUACGUGCCAGCCGCCGC